UAACGACUCUCGGCAACGGAUAUCUCGGCUCUCGCAUCGAUGAAGAACGUAGCGAAAUGCGAUACUUGGUGUGAAUUGCAGAAUCCCGUGAACCAUCGAGUCUUUGAACGCAAGUUGCGCCCCAAGCUGUUAGGUUGAGGGCACGUCUGCCUGGGUGUCACG
This 162-nucleotide ribosomal RNA is filed under the name Zieria laevigata. Its description in RNAcentral is "5.8S ribosomal RNA". It matches the Rfam family "5.8S ribosomal RNA". From Rfam's summary of the family: 5.8S ribosomal RNA (5.8S rRNA) is a component of the large subunit of the eukaryotic ribosome. It is transcribed by RNA polymerase I as part of the 45S precursor that also contains 18S and 28S rRNA. Functionally, it is thought that 5.8S rRNA may be involved in ribosome translocation. Lineage: Eukaryota; Viridiplantae; Streptophyta; Magnoliopsida; Sapindales; Rutaceae. RNAcentral also lists the same sequence under 1 other name. The record is from RNAcentral.